CCUACGGGAGGCAGCAGUAGGGAAUUUUGCGCAAUGGGCGAAAGCCUGACGCAGCAACACCGCGUGAAUGUUAAGCCCUUCGGGGUGUAAAGUUCUGUCAAUAGGGACGAAUUUUGAGUGUACGUAUAAAGGAAGCACUGGCUAACUUCGUCCCAGCAAGCGCGGUAAUACGGGGGGUGAAAGCGUUGUCCGGAAUCAGUGAGCGUAAAGAGUUCGUAGGCGGCAAGGUAAGUCUGAUGUUAAAGCCCGGGGCUCAACUCCGGUUCGGCAUUGGAUACUAUCAGGCUUGAGUGUAGUAGAGGUAAGUGGAAUUCCUGGUGUAGCGGUGAAAUGCGUAGAUAUCAGGAGGAACAUCAGUGGCGAAAGCGGUUUACUGGACCAUUAUUGACGCUGAGGAACGAAAGCCAGGGGAGCAAAUGGGAUUAGAUACCCCUGUAGUC
Molecule: ribosomal RNA, 440 nt
Filed under: uncultured bacterium
Lineage: Bacteria
Description: partial 16S ribosomal RNA
Rfam family: Bacterial small subunit ribosomal RNA
Source: RNAcentral